This is a long non-coding RNA of Oreochromis niloticus (Nile tilapia), 1007 nucleotides long. RefSeq lists it as uncharacterized. NCBI's taxonomy places the organism in Eukaryota, Metazoa, Chordata, Actinopteri, Cichliformes, Cichlidae. The transcript is spliced from 2 exons. The record is from RefSeq and is a predicted model, not a curated record.
ACUAAAGGAAUGGUUUGAAAAUAUUAUUCGACCACUCGUCAUUGUCAGUUAAUAGUAAAUAAGUAGUAGUAGUAGUAGUAGUAAGUAAAAUAUUUUAUAAUUCUUCAGCCUGGAAGAUGAUCAGCAUAUUUAAAAGAAGAAAAGAGGCAGCACAAAAGGAGUGUCUCUGACAGUUGUGGAAUCAAUUUGGACCGAAGCCUCCACCAACCUUUAAUUCUAGACUCGACUACUAAAUAGGAUGAAAAUGGAUGAAGAUUCUUGGUUCCCAUCUAUAUCCCCAUCUGCCUGUCAUUGCUAUUUGGGUUUCAUCAGCAAUAAAACUGUUUUAUUGUUUUCCACACGCUUAUUAGUAUUAGAUUAUCCACAGCUAUAAAUAUUUAUUCAUUCAGCACCAUGUCUCUUUAUACUCUAAAUGCACUGUGACAUUGUGUACUGUGUUUUCUGUAAGCUGCUUUCCAUUUCAAAAUGUAAAAGGCUGAGUAGAAUAUUUCACUGCUGUCUUCACACAAAGUAAUCUCAGUGAAACCCUCUGAUCAUCUGUUUUGUGUUGACUUCACGGUAUAAGUAUACUUGCUUGAGACAGAAACCACAUUCAGCAACAAUGGAUUGCAUUUAUGUUUUUUCUUUAUUUUCGUGCCUAUUUACAUUAUAGAUUCUCACUGAAGACAUCAAAACUUGUCUGUUUGUACAGACAAGCUGCCAAACAGUGUUGCAGGAGAACAGACUGUUCUCCAGCACACCUCAGUCUACUGAGAGGAGUACUUGUGGUUUUAAUAAAAAUUAUGUUCUUGUUUAAAGUCCAUUUUGCCAACAUUAAGCGUGACGUAUUUGCAUGUUUGGAAGUGUCUUGAUCUGCCAUCUUUUGGAAAAGAUUUGAAUGCACAAGAUGAAUUUACCUGAAAUGAUUCAUCGGCAUGUAAUGAGGUGAAAUAACCACCAGAUGGCACUUCAUUAUCUAUUAUGCCAGUGGGACCCAAAGUGGGGGCACGGUGGAUAAAAAAAAAAAA